RNAcentral lists this ribosomal RNA (477 nucleotides) under uncultured bacterium. RNAcentral's name for it is "bacterial SSU rRNA". It matches the Rfam family "Bacterial small subunit ribosomal RNA", at positions 335 to 805 of the family's 1533-position model. The record is from RNAcentral.
ACUCCUACGGGAGGCAGCAGUGGGGAAUAUUGGACAAUGGGCGGAAGCCUGAUCCAGCCAUGCCGCGUGUGUGAAGAAGGCCUUAUGGUUGUAAAGCACUUUAAGCGAGGAGGAGGCUACUCUAGUUAAUACCUAGAGAUAGUGGACGUUACUCGCAGAAUAAGCACCGGCUAACUCUGUGCCAGCAGCCGCGGUAAUACAGAGGGUGCGAGCGUUAAUCGGAUUUACUGGGCGUAAAGCGUGCGUAGGCGGCUGAUUAAGUCGGAUGUGAAAUCCCUGAGCUUAACUUAGGAAUUGCAUUCGAUACUGGUCAGCUAGAGUAUGGGAGAGGAUGGUAGAAUUCCAGGUGUAGCGGUGAAAUGCGUAGAGAUCUGGAGGAAUACCGAUGGCGAAGGCAGCCAUCUGGCCUAAUACUGACGCUGAGGUACGAAAGCAUGGGAGCAAACAGGAUUAGAUACCCCGUGGUAGCGACUGAUA